AACACUGCUGUUGACAUUUCUCCCUGGGAUGAAUGUCUGUGUGAGGAAUCAAACCUUCCAGUCAUGCCGUAUAAACUCCCAGGUCUUGCUGUUAGUAUAGCGCAGAUCAACUCCACUGACGAUACCUGGAGUGUGAGUGGCAGAAAGUGGCAGGCGAACAACAUCUCUAAGUCACUAGCAACAUAAAUACACUGUGUCGAAUAGCUGAGCUGCCACAAAUAUAUCCGCACCUGUACAAUCGCUCGCGGGGAGACUUUAAAGAUUCAGAGAAAGCAUUUAAUUCCUAGAAAGAAAUUGCAACGAAGCUUGGUGUAACAAACAGGUUUGUGUUAUUGAGAUGACUCCAAUAUUUUUUCCACAUCAUGCUAAAAUUUUGAGACUAUGAGCCAUUCACACUUAAAGGAUGUCAAUCCUCUAUCAUGUGUGUCAUGUGUUCCCGCCUCUUGUUUCCUUAUUUGGUUUGUGUCACGAAUCCUGUCCAUGCACUUCCAUUCACUCACCACCAGAGGUCACUUGCUCACUACAUUGACUAUCACAGCACCCAUCACACUGGACUCCAUUUCCCAUCAUUCAUUGCACUGAUUGCAUACACGGCUCAUUGCACUUAACACACACACACCUGAUCCUACGCACACACUGAUUGCAUGCCUUAUUUAAACCCUGGACUUUCUUUCCCUCACUGCCGAGUAUUGUAUGCAUUUAUCGCUGCCCUACAGAGCCCCUGUUAGUUUUCCUAGUCUUGCCUGUUUCGGAUUGUGUGUUCCCCUGCCUGAACUAUUGCUUACAUUUUGAAUUACCUCUCUUGUCUAGCCCCUUUGGAUACUGUUCGCUGUCGUCUGACCCAUGCCCGUUUUAGAUUACUCUUUGCACUGCCUAUGAUAUACCUGUCUGCCAUUGUUCGACCCUGCCUGUUAUGACCACGUCUCUUGUCAAUAAAAGCUUGCAUAUGGAUCCGCACGUCUCACGUCUCGUCAGCCCCGUAACAGUUUGCUUCCUGUCCUUGUUUAGUGUGAUUGUCUGUUAUUCUGUUCAGGUGUGUGUCAUUAUCAGUAAUUAUCAUGUGUAUUUAGUUCCUGCCUGUUUAGUUAGAUUUUAUCUGGUCUACUCAUUAUUCCUCGGUGUUCCUGUCUGUGUUAACCUUGCCUCGUCUUGCCCUGCCUUGUUUGGAUUAAUUAAAGACUAUUAUUUUUAAGUUUAUCCUUUUCUGCAUGUUCCUCGUUCCUCCCUGCUAUGUGCACUGUGACAAAGGACUGAUUAUGGGAAUGAAAUGGUUCUUUUGUAUUGCAAACAUGAUACUUGACUCUGAACUGCUGCUAAUCAUUAUUCUUUCGUCUAUAAUAUUCUGACCAUUGGUACCUGUCUCACACCUAGAUACACCAUCAUUGUGUCGUUGUUGUGUUUAGGGCAUAUGCGCGAGCGUCGCGACACAUGUUUACAUUAAUCUACACCCCGCCUCCAGCAGCGCGGGGGUGUUGGGACUGUUCAGAAACAGUAUACCGUUGCUCAGCCUUUUCGAACCUCUUUUUGCCCCCAAACAAAGAACGAAAGCGAACUUCGUUUGAAGUAUAUCGGGGCCUUUAGGUUAAUUGGGUAACUGCCACUGACUGUCAUUCUGGAUGAAUUUCCUUUUAGAAAAAGCCCGGGCUUGCUUGCUUAUGCCCCAAGUUCCCACAUCUACUGUUACAUGACAUACUCUCACUAGUAGUGUAGUUAUAUGCAGGGGCGGAUUGGCCAUCUGGCAAUUCUGGCAAAUGCCAGAGGGGCCGGACCAUUUUGUUUAAUGUGGGCCGGUCAGAUUUUUAAAAUUAAUGUAUGAAUAAAAUUGUUUUUACGGGCCUUUUUUAUCUAGAUUUCACUAUGGUUAAUAACAACAUGAAUAGGCCAAAUAAUAAAUGUUAAGCAUUUGGCUAAGUCUGCAACGGCCAGCCGCCUGGUCCCGAGAUGGGCCGACCGAACCGAUUAGAGGUUAUUGGACGUUCAGUCAAAAUCAAGACGAGCUACGAUCAGCAAGAGCUAAUUUUCAGUAAAAGCUAGAUAAUGGACCGUAAAAAAAGUAAAGGCGGUGCAUAAAAACUUUGAGAAACAAACAAACAAAAAGGGCUCUAAAGUCUGACGCUGCUAAAAGUGUAAAAUUAACCGAACUCUUUUCAAAAUGUUUAAAUUCGGCUGCUGCAGCGGAGGACAGUAGUGCCACAGACGCAAACAGAAAACAGAAAAUACAGCUAACACAAGUCAUUUUCACACUACUUCUGCCAGUUAGCUCCUGUGUUUUGUGUGUGUGUGUGUUUUGACAGUAGCCUACAUUGUAUUAAAUAGUUGUAUGCUUAGCGUAGAACCCCAGUAUAUUUUAAAGUGUCAUUGUUUCAUGGUAAUUGGUUACAAGUGUUAGCUAACCUGUUACUGAAUUGCAUGAUUGAAAUAUCAGCAGAUAAGUUGGGAUUUAGGCUAACCACUGAUAUAGGCUACUUGCAGUAACACAUCAAAAACCUAUAGCAAUAGCCAUAGUACUACUGUAGACAUUUGUAGUGAACUUCACUUUGAAUAUGUAGAUCAGGGGUCUUCAACUAAAACGGCUCGAGGUCCAGUAAUGAACCCUCCCCACCAGCCGAGGUCCGAACAAUUAUAUAUAAAAAACAAUUGAUGGUUUUUGCCAGGCCAGGGUAUCUGCAGGAUAUUUAAACUUAAAUUCAAGACUUUUAAAGACCUUUUUAAGACCUGCACAAAAAAAUUAAAAAUAAAUAAAAAAUUAAAUAACUGUAAAAAGCAUGAUUUACAGUUCAGAUGCAGGUUUUCACAAAAACAAUCAAGUAUUAUAUUAAUUAAACAACAUAUAAAUAUAUUUUACUGCCUUAAUUAACAUUUUAUAACACAUUAUCUUCUUGUUGAUCUACCAGUUCACAUUUACAACUGUGUUUGCUGCUUAAAAACAUGGGUUGAUUUUCACAUUGGCCUUUGACAACAGCAAUACGGGCUGAUUUAAAAUGGAAAAUCAUUCUCUUCCAGCAGGUGGCGCUUUGGGAAUGGCAGUACACAAAGCCCAAGACACAGACUCCACAAAGCAGCAAAGCAGAUGACUUUGAAACAUGCAGCGCUCAUAUUUAUUCAAUGAAUAGCCUUUUUUAAGUUUAAUCGCAAUUCUUGUCUUUCAGUCCCCACAUUUAAGACCUCCUGAAAUCAUAAUUAAGACUUUCUUGUAACAUUUAAGAUUUUUAAGGACCCGUCAACUUUCCUAAUUUUUGAAAAUGCCAUUGUUUUUUUUAUCCACUGAAAGUUUCAGCUGUCUGCGCGCAGCGGGCGCUCUCAUGUCUCAUCACUGCUCGCACGACUGCACCCAAACGGCUCUAGAGCUGAUGUCUGCUAGAUAUAAAUUUGAUUUACUGGAAAUUAGCGUUUGGUAUUUAUUUCAUUAGUCAUAUAUUAAAAUAAAACAUUGAAUACAUGCAUAUAGUACAUAUGUUUACAGUAUGCAAUUAAUCCUAAGGUAGGGUGGAACAUAGGCUUCUAUUACAGGCACUCAUGUGCAAUAGUUAGAUGAGGUAUUAUAAGCCAUUGGCUUACUUAUGUUCUCCCUUGUCUGAAUCGUGUUCAUCUAUUCAAAACUAGAAUGUAGCUGGACCCAGUGCAGACAGCUCAACUGCUGUAGCAGAGUCAAAUGCCAUGGAGGUAGGAGGACAGCAAUGAGAGAGACACACCCUGGCUGUGUGCUCCUGAGCCUGACCAAAAACAUGGCGGAAUCCGACGCGGCGUGACGAUGUUGCAGGAACCAAUACAGCCAGAGACCCCUGGUCUUCCAAUACCAGUGCUGUGAGGAAGGAUGCUACGGUAGGCCUUGCAGAGACAGGGAGUAUUGUGGAAGAGGUAGGAGAAAUCCAACAGACAGACAGUGACAACAAAGAACAACAUACAGUUGAGCAGUGGUACCCAACCCUGUUCAUGGAGAUCUACAUCCCUGCAGAGUUCAGUUCCAACCCUGCUUCAGCACACCUGCCUGUAAUUAUCAAGUAGUCCUGGAGAUCUUAAUUAGCUGGUUAAGCCGUGUUUGAUCAGGGAUGGAGCUGAACUUUGCAGGAAGGUAGUAGGGCUGUCGCGAUAACCGCAAUAUAGCAAUACCGCGCUAUUGAUGAGCAUAACCGCAGAGGAAUGCAACAACCGCGAUAUUUCAGUGUUUUAUUUUUCGUAAGGUUACGCCCUUCUUGUUUUACACUUCGUGCAUGUGUACUGAAUAUUAGUAAUGAUAACAAUGUGUAUCAUGCUGAUUUGCACAGAGGCUCAGUAAAUUUGCACUUAACAAGCCUAAACAGACAGCAAUGAG
Onychostoma macrolepis is the source of this 4312-nucleotide long non-coding RNA. RefSeq lists it as uncharacterized. NCBI's taxonomy places the organism in Eukaryota, Metazoa, Chordata, Actinopteri, Cypriniformes, Cyprinidae. The record is from RefSeq and is a predicted model, not a curated record. The transcript has 3 exons.